This 253-nucleotide ribosomal RNA is filed under the name uncultured bacterium. RNAcentral's name for it is "partial 16S ribosomal RNA". It matches the Rfam family "Bacterial small subunit ribosomal RNA", at positions 524 to 776 of the family's 1533-position model. The record is from RNAcentral.
UACAGAGGUCCCAAGCGUUGUUCGGAUUCAUUGGGCGUAAAGCGCGCGCAGGCGGUCCUUUAAGUCUGAUGUGAAAGCCCACGGCUCAACCGUGGAGGGUCAUUGGAAACUGGGGGACUUGAGUACAGAAGAGAAGAGUGGAAUUCCACGUGUAGCGGUGAAAUGCGUAGAGAUGUGGAGGAACACCAGUGGCGAAGGCGACUCUUUGGUCUGUAACUGACGCUGAGGCGCGAAAGCGUGGGGAGCGAACAGG